RNAcentral lists this ribosomal RNA (465 nucleotides) under uncultured bacterium. RNAcentral describes it as "partial 16S ribosomal RNA". It matches the Rfam family "Bacterial small subunit ribosomal RNA", at positions 28 to 507 of the family's 1533-position model. The record is from RNAcentral.
GACGAACGCUGACGGCGUGCUUAACACAUGCAAGUCGAACGGAAAGGCCCUGCUUGCAGGGUACUCGAGUGGCGAACGGGUGAGUAACACGUGGGUGAUCUGCCCUGCACUUCGGGAUAAGCCUGGGAAACUGGGUCUAAUACCGGAUAUGACCUUCCAUGUAGUGUGGGGGGUGGAAAGAUUUAUCGGUGUGGGAUGAGCCCGCGGCCUAUCAGCUUGUUGGUGGGGUAAUGGCCUACCAAGGCGUCGACGGGUAGCCGGCCUGAGAGGGUGGACGGCCACAUUGGGACUGAGAUACGGCCCAGACUCCUACGGGAGGCAGCAGUGGGGAAUAUUGCACAAUGGGCGGAAGCCUUAUGCAGCGACGCCGCGUGGGGGAUGACGGCCUUCGGGUUGUAAACCUCUUUCGACAGGGACGAAGCUUCGGUGACGGUACCUGUAUAAGAAGCACCGGCUAACUACGUG